Molecule: ribosomal RNA, 432 nt
Filed under: uncultured bacterium
Lineage: Bacteria
Description: partial 16S ribosomal RNA
Rfam family: Bacterial small subunit ribosomal RNA
Source: RNAcentral
AACGAACGCUGGCGGCAUGCCUAACACAUGCAAGUCGAACGAGACCUUCGGGUCUAGUGGCGCACGGGUGCGUAACGCGUGGGAACCUGCCCUUAGGUUCGGAAUAACUCCCCGAAAGGGGUGCUAAUACCGGAUAAUGUCUUCGGACCAAAGAUUUAUCGCCUUUGGAUGGGCCCGCGUUGGAUUAGCUAGUUGGUAGGGUAAAAGCCUACCAAGGCGACGAUCCAUAGCUGGUCUGAGAGGAUGAUCAGCCACACUGGGACUGGGACACGGCCCAGACCCCUCGGGAGGCCGGCAGUGGGGAUUAUUGAACAUGGGGCGAAGGCUUGAUCCAGCAUGCCCGGGUGAGUAAUGAGGGCUUUAGGUUUGUAAGGCUCUUUUACCGGGAUGAUAAUGACAGUACCGGGAGAAUAAGCUCCGGCUAACUCCGUG